GAUGAACGCUGGCGGCGUGCUUAACACAUGCAAGUCGAACGAAGCACUUUGAUCGAUUUCUUCGGAUUGAAAUUUUAGUGACUGAGUGGCGGACGGGUGAGUAACGCGUGGGUAACCUGCCUCACACAGGGGGAUAACAGUUGGAAACGGCUGCUAAUACCGCAUAAGCGCACAGUACCGCAUGGUACAGUGUGAAAAAACUCCGGUGGUGUGAGAUGGACCCGCGUCUGAUUAGCUAGUUGGCAGGGUAACGGCCUACCAAGGCGACGAUCAGUAGCCGACCUGAGAGGGUGACCGGCCACAUUGGGACUGAGACACGGCCCAAACUCCUACGGGAGGCAGCAGU
Molecule: ribosomal RNA, 346 nt
Filed under: uncultured bacterium
Lineage: Bacteria
Description: bacterial SSU rRNA
Rfam family: Bacterial small subunit ribosomal RNA
Source: RNAcentral